RNAcentral lists this ribosomal RNA (253 nucleotides) under uncultured bacterium. RNAcentral's name for it is "partial 16S ribosomal RNA". It matches the Rfam family "Bacterial small subunit ribosomal RNA", at positions 524 to 776 of the family's 1533-position model. The record is from RNAcentral.
UACGUAGGGCGCGAGCGUUGUCCGGAUUUAUUGGGCGUAAAGAGCUCGUAGGCGGCUUGUCGCGUCGACUGUGAAAACCCGAGGCUCAACUUCGGGCUUGCAGUCGAUACGGGCAGGCUAGAGUUCGGUAGGGGAGACUGGAAUUCCCGGUGUAGCGGUGGAAUGCGCAGAUAUCAGGAGGAACACCAAUGGCGAAGGCAGAUCUCUGGGCCGUAACUGACGCUGAGGAGCGAAAGCAUGGGGAGCGAACAGG